This 909-nucleotide ribosomal RNA is filed under the name Didymella pedeiae. Its description in RNAcentral is "LSU rRNA". It matches the Rfam family "Eukaryotic large subunit ribosomal RNA", at positions 38 to 965 of the family's 3401-position model. The record is from RNAcentral. Lineage: Eukaryota; Fungi; Ascomycota; Dothideomycetes; Pleosporales; Didymellaceae.
CCAUAUCAAUAAGCGGAGGAAAAGAAACCAACAGGGAUUGCCCUAGUAACGGCGAGUGAAGCGGCAACAGCUCAAAUUUGAAAUCUGGCGUCUUCGGCGUCCGAGUUGUAAUUUGCAGAGGGCGCUUUGGCAUUGGCAGCGGUCCAAGUUCCUUGGAACAGGACGUCACAGAGGGUGAGAAUCCCGUACGUGGUCGCUAGCCUUUACCGUGUAAAGCCCCUUCGACGAGUCGAGUUGUUUGGGAAUGCAGCUCUAAAUGGGAGGUAAAUUUCUUCUAAAGCUAAAUACUGGCCAGAGACCGAUAGCGCACAAGUAGAGUGAUCGAAAGAUGAAAAGCACUUUGGAAAGAGAGUUAAAAAGCACGUGAAAUUGUUGAAAGGGAAGCGCUUGCAGCCAGACUUGCCUGUAGUUGCUCAUCCGGGUUUCUACCCGGUGCACUCUUCUAUAGGCAGGCCAGCAUCAGUUUGGGCGGUUGGAUAAAGGUCUCUGUCAUGUACCUCUCUUCGGGGAGAACUUAUAGGGGAGACGACAUGCAACCAGCCUGGACUGAGGUCCGCGCAUCUGCUAGGAUGCUGGCGUAAUGGCUGUAAGCGGCCCGUCUUGAAACACGGACCAAGGAGUCUAACAUCUAUGCGAGUGUUUGGGUGUCAAGCCCGAGCGCGUAAUGAAAGUGAACGGAGGUGGGAACCUUUCGGGGUGCACCAUCGACCGAUCCUGAUGUCUUCGGAUGGAUUUGAGUAAGAGCAUAGCUGUUGGGACCCGAAAGAUGGUGAACUAUGCUUGAAUAGGGUGAAGCCAGAGGAAACUCUGGUGGAGGCUCGCAGCGGUUCUGACGUGCAAAUCGAUCGUCAAAUUUGGGCAUAGGGGCGAAAGACUAAUCGAACUAUCUAGUAGCUGGUUCCUGCCGAA